UGUCUCCUGCGGUGUUCGAUGAUGGCUAGGGAAUCUCUCGACCCUAAAUUUUAAUAUCGGGAUUAUGCAUUGAUAGCAGCAUUUGAGCAUGACUAAUCUUAGAAAGCCUGUUGUUGCUCUUGUUGAACCCACCUAAAGCUCUGGUUUGAGAGCGAUAGUCAAUAACGGCACAUGCGGGAGACGC
RNAcentral lists this non-coding RNA (184 nucleotides) under Gammaproteobacteria bacterium. Its description in RNAcentral is "6S RNA". It matches the Rfam family "6S / SsrS RNA". From Rfam's summary of the family: E. coli 6S RNA was the first non coding RNA to be sequenced, but its function was unknown until recently. It consists of 184 nucleotides that fold into an extended hairpin structure with a large single-stranded internal bulge. The record is from RNAcentral. Lineage: Bacteria; Pseudomonadati; Pseudomonadota; Gammaproteobacteria.